UAACUGGCUUGUGGCAGCCAAGCGUU
This 26-nucleotide small nuclear RNA is filed under the name Arabidopsis thaliana (thale cress). RNAcentral's name for it is "snRNA_07998". The record is from RNAcentral. Lineage: Eukaryota; Viridiplantae; Streptophyta; Magnoliopsida; Brassicales; Brassicaceae.